ACGGGAAAAUGACCUAUGAAUUGACAGACAAUAUAGCUGAGUUUGUCUGUCAUUUCUUUAGGCCAAUAUUCUGU
Pan troglodytes (chimpanzee) is the source of this 74-nucleotide microRNA precursor. It matches the Rfam family "mir-192/215 microRNA precursor family". Rfam says of the family: This family represents the human microRNA (miRNA) precursors mir-192 and mir-215. NCBI's taxonomy places the organism in Eukaryota, Metazoa, Chordata, Mammalia, Primates, Hominidae. The record is from Rfam.